This 1124-nucleotide long non-coding RNA is filed under the name Triticum aestivum (bread wheat). Its description in RNAcentral is "long non-coding RNA (TAES_LNC028119)". Lineage: Eukaryota; Viridiplantae; Streptophyta; Magnoliopsida; Poales; Poaceae. The record is from RNAcentral.
UUUUUUUUUUUGUUCUCUUAUGUUUUGUUUCCCUGGUGGUAGCAACAAGGUGGUGGCGUGGGCGAAUUGUUGGAGUAAGGUCUCUGCGGCCUCUCAUUAUCUAGAAGAUGUUAGAUCCGACGCCAAGGAAGGGUCUGCGAGAGUUUACAUCGCUAGAUCCAUUUGCUCUCUUCGGAUAUUGGUAGUUGGUUUGUGCUUCAAGGAGAUCUAUCUUCCUUCGUGUUGUCCUGUGGCAUGAUCAAGUUUCUUCAACUCUCUGUACCGGUGGUCACGAAGCAUGUACUGCAUUGGGUGAUGCUUUAACCGAUGUUUCUUCACCGAUUUCUAGAUCUCGUUUCAAAUGCGAGUAGCUAUUGUGGUCUUUAAAGCCUGGUUGGCGAGGGUGUUUGCAUGUGUCCCUUUCAUUUACUGCCAGUGGAAUUUUUACUCUUCGAUGGACGGCGUCUAAUUAAGAAGAUUGGUAAAUUUCAAUGUAACUUUAUUUUCUACUACUAUACUAUUUAUUCUGUGUCCGGUUGUGUUUUCCUAUUGUACUAUUUUUUUUGAGAUAGCUAUUUUUCCUGUUGAUAUAAUGUGUCUCUUUGUUCUUCAUAAUUAUCAGAUUUUUUUUUUGAGUUGAUCAUAAUUAUCAGAUGCAAUCAACAUGUUCCAGGAGCUUAUAAAGUCAAUUUGGCUCAAAACUGAAGUGAUUCGAUCUCAAAGAAGCUCGUAACAGCAGACAGCCAAAGCACAAGCAUGAGCAGACCGAAGCAGCAAAGAGGCACAGGGCAUGAGCAACAAGGAGCAAGCAAGCAAGCAGGCAGUGUCCAUGGGAACGUUCUGGUUUCUAUUACCGCGAUUUCGAAGUUAUUUCCCCCAAGACGACGCGUGCCGCCGACACCAGGCACAAGGGGGGAAAUCACUCGGCGCCGACAGGAGGCGCUCUUAUUACAUUGAUCGGUCGGUCGAUGGCACGAACACCAGCGCAUUUCAUUUGGGUUUUACACCGAGAGAGGCGUCUGAGCAGCAGCUUUCCUCACAAGCUGGACAGGUACGCCUGCCACCCUUGGACGCGGUACUCCCUGGCCGUCUGCUCGGGGUCGCUCGCCUUGAUGAUCCCGCGCCCCACAAUGAUUAUAUCGCUG